RNAcentral lists this transfer RNA (71 nucleotides) under Acidobacteriota bacterium. Its description in RNAcentral is "Acidobacteria bacterium (sediment metagenome) tRNA-Pro". Lineage: Bacteria; Pseudomonadati; Acidobacteriota. The record is from RNAcentral.
CGGGUUAGGGCACGUGGUAGCAUUGCAUGGGGUGCAGGUGGUCGUGAGUUCAAAUCUCACCGCCCCGACCA